UACGUAGGUGGCAAGCGUUGUCCGGAAUUAUUGGGCGUAAAGCGCGCGCAGGCGGCCUUUUAAGUCUGAUGUGAAAGCCCACGGCUCAACCGUGGAAGGUCAUUGGAAACUGGAGGGCUUGAGUACAGAAGAGGAAAGCGGAAUUCCACGUGUAGCGGUGAAAUGCGUAGAGAUGUGGAGGAACACCAGUGGCGAAGGCGGCUUUCUGGUCUGUAACUGACGCUGAGGCGCGAAAGCGUGGGGAGCAAACAGG
RNAcentral lists this ribosomal RNA (253 nucleotides) under uncultured bacterium. RNAcentral's name for it is "partial 16S ribosomal RNA". It matches the Rfam family "Bacterial small subunit ribosomal RNA", at positions 524 to 776 of the family's 1533-position model. The record is from RNAcentral.